RNAcentral lists this ribosomal RNA (609 nucleotides) under uncultured bacterium. Its description in RNAcentral is "bacterial SSU rRNA". The stretch from base 1 to 516 matches the Rfam family "Bacterial small subunit ribosomal RNA", at positions 338 to 873 of the family's 1533-position model. The record is from RNAcentral.
CCUACGGGAGGCAGCAGUGGGGAAUAUUGCACAAUGGGCGAAAGCCUGAUGCAGCGACGCCGCGUGAGGGAUGACGGCCUUCGGGUUGUAAACCUCUUUCAGCAGGGAAGAAGCGCAAGUGACGGUACCUGCAGAAGAAGCACCGGCUAACUACGUGCCAGCAGCCGCGGUAAUACGUAGGGUGCGAGCGUUGUCCGGAAUUAUUGGGCGUAAAGAGCUCGUAGGCGGUCUGUCACGUCGGAUGUGAAAGCCCGGGGCUUAACCCCGGGUCUGCAUUCGAUACGGGCAGACUAGAGUGUGGUAGGGGAGAUCGGAAUUCCUGGUGUAGCGGUGAAAUGCGCAGAUAUCAGGAGGAACACCGGUGGCGAAGGCGGAUCUCUGGGCCAUUACUGACGCUGAGGAGCGAAAGCGUGGGGAGCGAACAGGAUUAGAUACCCUGGUAGUCCACGCCGUAAACGUUGGGACUAGUAGUGUGACAUCACGUCGUCGUGCGCNGNUACGACAUAGUUACCCGUCCCGUCGGGUAGGACGGUCCGGCGAGACGAACCGUACCUAACGGAAAGUUAGUUACGGCGUGUUGAGUACGCGACGACGCGACGACGGAGGAGG